This 402-nucleotide ribosomal RNA is filed under the name Verrucomicrobiota bacterium. RNAcentral describes it as "Verrucomicrobia bacterium partial 16S ribosomal RNA". It matches the Rfam family "Bacterial small subunit ribosomal RNA", at positions 355 to 776 of the family's 1533-position model. The record is from RNAcentral. Lineage: Bacteria; Pseudomonadati; Verrucomicrobiota.
UGGGGAAUUUUGCACAAUGGGGGAAACCCUGAUGCAGCGACGCCGCGUGAUUUAGAAGGCCUUCGGGUUGUAAAAAUCUUUUUUAUGGGAUGAAAAUGACAGUACCAUAAGAAUAAGGUCCGGCUAAAUACGUGCCAGCAGCCGCGGUAAUACGUAUGGACCGAGCGUUGUCCGGAAUCAUUGGGCGUAAAGGGUACGUAGGCGGCCCAGUAAGUUAGAAGUGAAAUAAUAUAGCUCAACUAUAUAAAGCUUUUAAAACUGCUAGGCUUGAGAGAUGGAAGGGAAAGUGGAAUUCCUAGUGUAGCGGUGAAAUGCGCAGAUAUUAGGAAGAAUACCGGUGGCGAAGGCGACUUUCUGGUCAUCAUCUGACGCUGUGGUACGAAAGCGUGGGUAGCAAACAGG